This 1179-nucleotide long non-coding RNA is filed under the name Canis lupus familiaris (dog). RNAcentral describes it as "lncRNA (ENSCAFG00000053539.1)". Lineage: Eukaryota; Metazoa; Chordata; Mammalia; Carnivora; Canidae. The record is from RNAcentral.
UUUUUUGUUUUGUUUUGUUUUUUUUGAAGCAAAAUAUUUAAAUGCAAAAUCUCACAAUGACAUUAAUAAUCCUAGUCAAAUGUUUGUUAUGAAUUAUAAUUUGAUGAAGUUACAAAUUAAUAAGUUGCUAAUUAAUUUUUGUUACAAAUGACAUAAUUGUUUUAUCUAUGACUGGUCUUAUCUGGCUUUGCAGGUAAGCAGUAGAAAAUCUGCAGAGUCUAGGACAGGGAGUCAAGGGAAGUGUUGAGUGAAUGAGCCUGGGAAGGGUAUGGAAGCUGGGAUAGAAAGACCAUUUCUGGGGACAGAUGAGAGGCUUAGAGGGAGAUAAGAUCUUUGGUCUUAGAUCUUGGUAUUUUGGUCUGGUUUACUCGCUGUGCAACCCUGAACAAGUUUUUUCAUCUUUAUGACUGCUAUAAUCUGAAUGUGUAUGUCCUCCAACUCCCAUCAAAUUCAAAUGCUGAAGUCCUAAUACCCAAUGAGAUGGCAGAAGUAGGUGGGGCCUUUGGGAGAUGUUUAAAUCAUUAAAAUGGAGCAUUCAUGAAUGAGAUUAGUGUUCUUGUAAAAGAGGCUCCAGAGAGAUCCUUCACUCCUUCCACCAUGUAAAGAUGUAGUGAGAAGGCACUGGCUAUGAACCAGAUAGAGGGAUUCUAUCAGACUCUGACCAUGGUGGCACCUUGAUCUUGGAAUUUCCAGUCUCCUGAACUUUUAGAAUACAGUUCUAUUUAUUAUAAGCCACCCAGUCUGUGGGAUUUUUGUUAUGGCAGCCUAAAUAGACUAACACAAUGACCUUAGACUCCUCAUCUGAAAGUAGUAAUAGACAAUAGGUCAUAAAAUUGCUUUAGGGGCUAAAUUUAAAUGAUGCAUAUAAAGUGAUGAGCAAAGUGCACAGUAAGUUCACAAAAAAUGGCAACAACAAUAAUUUAUAUAAUUAUUCAUAGCUGGUCUCCACUGGGUUACUUAGGAGAUCAUUAACUAUCAUUCAAUAAAUAAAGUUUUCUAUUACAAAUUACAGUGCAUGGUACAAAUAGGCGACAAUGUAAGGAGCAAUGUAACUACAAAUCUACCUGGAAUACCUACUCCACACCUUUUAAUUACUAACUCAUAUUUCAGGCCACUGUCUACUUUACUCACAUCACAAUUCUCAUGGUCUGUAUCAUGAGGGCUCGUGUACAUCAAGUA